Molecule: ribosomal RNA, 559 nt
Filed under: uncultured bacterium
Lineage: Bacteria
Description: bacterial SSU rRNA
Rfam family: Bacterial small subunit ribosomal RNA
Source: RNAcentral
AAUAAUACCCCGGUAGUCCACGCCGUAAACGAUGGAUGCUAGCUGUUAUGCGUAUCGACCCGUGUAGUAGCGAAGCUAACGCGUUAAGCAUCCCGCCUGGGGAGUACGAACGCAAGUUUAAAACUCAAAGGAAUUGACGGGGACCCGCACAAGCGGUGGAGCGUGUUCUUUAAUUCGAGGCUAAGCGAAGAACCUUACCAGGGCUUGACAUCCUUGGAAUUUCUCCGAAAGGAGAGAGUACUUUAUUGGACCAAGUGACAGGUGCUGCAUGGCCGUCGUCAGCUCGUGUCGUGAGAUGUUUGGUUAAGUCCAUUAACGAGCGCAACCCUUAUGAAUAGUUGUAUUUUUCUAUUCAGACUGCCCCGGUAACGGGGAGGAAGGGGGGGAUGAUGUCAGGUCAGUAUUGCCCUUACGCCCUGGGCUAGAAACGCGCUACAAUGGCCGGUACAAUGCGCUGCCAACCCGCGAGGGGGAGCAAAUCGCAUCAAAGCCGGUCCCAGUUCGGAUAAGAGGCUGAAACUCGCCUCUUUGAAGCCGGAAUCGCUAGUAAUCGUAGGUC